CACCAGUGUUACAUGUCUGACGGGGAACAUCUAUUCUUCAAAGCUUGCAGCUGUACACGUAGGUUUUAGAAUGUCUGUCAGCAGUGGACAUGAUCUUAGAGUGGGCUGUGCAGAUAGACCUUUCCAGGUCAUGUAAUUGGAUUAAGUUAAGUGUAAUUAACGUACAUGUAACUGAUUAGGUUAGGGUACGUUCCACGUCAGGUGACCAGAGGCAGUAUAAAAGGCCGCCUGGAAAGUAGAGGUCCCUCUCUGCCCCUUCCUCCGUCUUCCUGGAUGCUGCAUCGCUUCCAGCGGGGCUGCUCCAGCACCUGCCCAUCUCAGCGCCAGCCGGGGAAAGAAAGUAGACGUGUAAUUUCAGGUGACCCAAAAAUCAACCCCUGAAAAAGGCGGUCAUAAAACCCCCAGGAGACGAAGAUGAUGGCAU
Molecule: long non-coding RNA, 424 nt
Filed under: Homo sapiens (human)
Lineage: Eukaryota; Metazoa; Chordata; Mammalia; Primates; Hominidae
Description: HSALNT0068933
Source: RNAcentral